UAUAUAUACAUAUAUAUAUAUAUAUGAUUUAUUACAGUGACUAACAGGCUGUGGUUCAGCUGGUCCAACAAUGGCUGUUCUCAAUGGAAAGUCUAAGAAUCUAGUAGUUAUUCAGUCCAUGAAGUGAAUCCUGAAGAAUUUGGCCUGACAAAAGGCUAGAAAGUUUUUUUUCCCUGUCCCUUAUAUAGGUUGUCACAGGAAGAUAUGGCCUAUAUUUAGGGUGGGUCUUCUUGCUUCAAAUGGUCCAAUUAACUAAAAAUCCCUCUCAGUGUGCCCGGCGACUUGAGUUUUUAGUCAGUAUAGAUGUGGUCAAGUUGACAAUCAAGGAGAGUCAUCGCAAUUCUCCAAAUCCCAGUUCACCCACAGUGAGGCUUGGGCCAGGGCAUAAACCGGAAUGUCCGAAUGGACAAGAGAAGAUGGAGUAGAUAUGAGAGCUGGAGUUGGAGUGGGAAUCGGGAGGAGUGGGAAGAGAAAGUGAGCUGAAAGAGCGAGGUAAUGAAGAGGAGGGAGGGCGGGAGAGGGAGAGAUUGAGGUGGGAAGCUCAGGCCGUCUUUUUCCUAUUGGCAGUUACGACCAACCUCUCAGGAGUGACUCUCUGCCAGCCUGGCUGCUAAAUCACGGACACCAGCGUAAUUGAAACAGAAAAUCACGCCCGGCAGAACAGCCUAGCAACACCACUAUUAGCAGCUGUGGCUCUCCACUUCGAACCAGGGAGCUAAUACGCCUCUUUAUGCAUGCGCAGGCACUGCCAGAUAUAUAUCUUCACCAAUGUUUUCAUAGGGACUGGGCCUUCCCACUCCUUCCUGCCACCACGAAGCUGCUCACUCUGGGAAGACCGAACUUGUCUGUGGUACCUAAGGCUGCCCCACUGUGGGGCUGAUGCAAAACUCUUCUUCCCUCCCCCCUCCCUCCUUUCCUUCCUCCCUUCUUCCCCUUCUCGUCCAUCACUGAGCUUACGGUGGUGCUGAGGAAGCUGAAAACAGAGCAAUCACACAAACCUGGAGGUAAACUGCACCAAUUGCCCUAAUCAAGCAAGCUGCUCUCCAAAGGGAUCUGACACCUUGGAAUGAAGGAGGUCACGGUGAGAAAGGGAUAAAGAAACCAGGGUACAGGGAGAGAAGACUGUUCUACACGCCUACAGCUGGAACAAAGUUCUGGCCCAGGAGCUAGAGAAGCGCCUUGCUUUCCGAUGUGGACUUCUUCCUCAGCAGCCGCUGUGUGGGACAAAUACAAUCCAGAAACACAUUGAUUGGAUUCAGCUUGCCGGUGUGAACUUCUAUAACAUGGAGAAUUUAUGACUGAAAAUGCAGCUUGGCCCGAAUGCAGAGACCACUGACUUGGAAAGGAGAUUCACUAUCAUCGUGGCCAUUGUGAUUGUCACUGUCACUAACACAUUUUCAGAGCGGACCACAAGUACUUCUAAGCAAGAGCUCAGUUCAUCCCAUGACACAUUGAGGUCAUCCAUAGAGGAGGAAACUAAGGUUC
RNAcentral lists this small RNA (1485 nucleotides) under Rattus norvegicus (Norway rat). Its description in RNAcentral is "uncharacterized LOC103692198". Lineage: Eukaryota; Metazoa; Chordata; Mammalia; Rodentia; Muridae. The record is from RNAcentral.